GGGGUCGAUAAAUUAAGUACCAGUUACGCACUGGGGUCGAUGUAAUCAACUUAAUCCGUUUGUCUGUUCUUGCUUGUCCCCUCUGUGUUUAGCCCCUUGUGGGUAGUAAAGAAAUAAAUAUAUGUCAGCAGAAUUGCUUCCACCUCAGACUAAAUAUGUUUCAAAAAUUCCUCCAACAAAAAGAAACACCUCUAACUUGUGCCUCUUGCAAUAUUCAAAAAACCUUCUGACCAUUAAUUGCUAGACUUAGAAAUGCUCUUAUGAAUGGUUUACAAAAAUAUUUAGAGGAUCAUUAAGUUUUACAGUGUAUGUGUGUGUGAUUUGCAUAAUCAUGUAGGAAUCAAAGAGCAAGGUGAAAUGAAUUCCUGUAUCCUGCUUAGCACAUGAGUGCGUUACCAUUUUGUUCAUUUCUAUGAGCAGAUGCCAUUGUAUUGUUCAACUGUGCGAAUGGUUUUAUAACAAUGAUUAGAAUCCUAUUCAUUGUCUUGUUUUAUGUGAUCCCACGGUGAAGACUCCCCAAUUUGUCAAGGCACUGCUCACCAAUGAAUGAAUAAAUUGUUUGAUAAUAAGGGUUAUGCAUUUUCAAGAAAUAGAAUUCUUUUGUUUGUGAGAAUUUCUGCAUUUUGGUAGUUCUCUACUCUAAGACAUGUAAAGAGUCAUUUUGUAAUCUCUGUCUUUCACAUACAUCAGUAUUCUGGAUUGUUUGUGUAGCUCAAUGGUUCAUGCUGAAUUCCCUUCCUUAUACCAGCUUUUGUGAUACUGGAACGAGCUAUGUCUAACACAUGUAGAAAAAUUCAUGUUGCCAGAACAUGCAGCAUUGUCUACUCUGUACCGAUUUUCUCUUAGAGUUUCUCAUUUUCCUAAAUAUGUUGCCUUAAUUAUGGAUACUCUUUGUUGAAAGUUAAUAAUUCCGUUUCCCUCCUAUAACCUCAUUAUCCUUAACAGAAGAAAUUUCACAUUACAUAACUGAAUAUGUAAACCAAUUAAAUAGACUUUUGUAAGGAAGGGUAGAAUCCUGUAUCUAAUGAUACAUCAGUGAGUAUGUUUCUUACAUGAAUUAUGUCAUCAUCAGAGUAUAUCACCCUCCUAGCCGUUACAGGAUGUCUUAUGGUUCUAAUGGUCAAGGGUUAAGGAGGUAAAGUUCUUCAUUGCUCACUGAUCUAGUAGACAGGUGAAAUUUCUUCAAAGGGCUAGAGAAAUAUUUGGAUAAUGAGACCUUUCAAGAAAGAUGUGUAGACCAGUAAGUAGGUAGAUGACAAAGAGUGAAUUUAGCUUGCUGCUGCUGUUUCUUGAGAGAACCUCCCUCCCUGAUUGUGUAUAUUUAUAUAAGUAUGUAUAUAGAAUAUUAUAUAUAUGCAUGUAUCUAUGUAUAUAUAUAUGUGUAUAUAUAUGUAUAGCAGUAAAAAACCUGUUCUAAAGUUACAUUUAGUUUCUUGAUACUAAAGAUACUGCUAAAAUGAUAGUAUCCCAUUAAGAAAAAUCUUACGAAAUCUACCACCUAUGAUGUCUCCUAAAGAGAGAGAAAUAAAACAGAAACAAAAGAAAUUGUUUCAAAAACUGGUGACAAUCUAAUGUUAAAUUGUGAAAAAAAAAGGAAAAAAUACCUGUAAAGAAUAAAAAACUGCAGUUUAAC
This is a long non-coding RNA of Octopus sinensis (East Asian common octopus), 1633 nucleotides long. RefSeq lists it as uncharacterized. The record is from RefSeq and is a predicted model, not a curated record. NCBI's taxonomy places the organism in Eukaryota, Metazoa, Mollusca, Cephalopoda, Octopoda, Octopodidae. The transcript is spliced from 2 exons.